GUGAAUCAUCAAAUUUUUGAACGCAAAUUGCACUCUCUGGUAUUCCGGGGAGUAUGCCUGUUUGAGGGUCAGUGAAAAUAUAAAUCGGUGAAGUUGCUGCCUGGCGUGGUGACGCACCGAAUGGGGUUCGUCUGGCCUUCGGGGAAGUGACGUAAAAUUGCGCAUGAUUUUUUCGAACGUGGUUAAAUGAUUUGACGUACGUUUGCGAUAUCUAGUACUAGGGGCGGUCAUCCUCAUGAUCCGCGCCUAUAAUGUCUCA
This 259-nucleotide unclassified non-coding RNA is filed under the name Glomeraceae sp. RNAcentral's name for it is "partial contains 5.8S ribosomal RNA and internal transcribed spacer 2". The stretch from base 1 to 71 matches the Rfam family "5.8S ribosomal RNA", at positions 84 to 154 of the family's 154-position model. Lineage: Eukaryota; Fungi; Glomeromycota; Glomeromycetes; Glomerales; Glomeraceae. The record is from RNAcentral.